This 1294-nucleotide ribosomal RNA is filed under the name Shigella sonnei. RNAcentral's name for it is "partial 23S ribosomal RNA". It matches the Rfam family "Bacterial large subunit ribosomal RNA", at positions 1632 to 2925 of the family's 2925-position model. The record is from RNAcentral. Lineage: Bacteria; Pseudomonadati; Pseudomonadota; Gammaproteobacteria; Enterobacterales; Enterobacteriaceae.
GAUUAGGUGCCCGUACCGCAAACCGACACAGGUAGUCAAGAUGAGAAUUCUAAGGUGAGCGAGCGAACUCUCGUUAAGGAACUCGGCAAAAUGACCCCGUAACUUCGGGAGAAGGGGUGCUCUUUAGGGUGCAAGCCCAGAAGAGCCGCAGUGAAUAGGCCCAAGCGACUGUUUAUCAAAAACACAGGUCUCUGCUAAACCGUAAGGUGAUGUAUAGGGGCUGACGCCUGCCCGGUGCUGGAAGGUUAAGAGGAGUGGUUAGCUUCUGCGAAGCUACGAAUCGAAGCCCCAGUAAACGGCGGCCGUAACUAUAACGGUCCUAAGGUAGCGAAAUUCCUUGUCGGGUAAGUUCCGACCCGCACGAAAGGCGUAACGAUUUGGGCACUGUCUCAACGAGAGACUCGGUGAAAUCAUAGUACCUGUGAAGAUGCAGGUUACCCGCGACAGGACGGAAAGACCCCGUGGAGCUUUACUGUAGCCUGAUAUUGAAAUUCGGCACAGCUUGUACAGGAUAGGUAGGAGCCUUUGAAACGUGAGCGCUAGCUUACGUGGAGGCGUUGGUGGGAUACUACCCUAGCUGUGUUGGCUUUCUAACCCGCACCACUUAUCGUGGUGGGAGACAGUGUCAGGCGGGCAGUUUGACUGGGGCGGUCGCCUCCUAAAAGGUAACGGAGGCGCUCAAAGGUUCCCUCAGAAUGGUUGGAAAUCAUUCAUAGAGUGUAAAGGCAUAAGGGAGCUUGACUGCGAGACCUACAAGUCGAGCAGGGUCGAAAGACGGACUUAGUGAUCCGGUGGUUCCGCAUGGAAGGGCCAUCGCUCAACGGAUAAAAGCUACCCCGGGGAUAACAGGCUUAUCUCCCCCAAGAGUUCACAUCGACGGGGAGGUUUGGCACCUCGAUGUCGGCUCAUCGCAUCCUGGGGCUGUAGUCGGUCCCAAGGGUUGGGCUGUUCGCCCAUUAAAGCGGUACGCGAGCUGGGUUCAGAACGUCGUGAGACAGUUCGGUCCCUAUCCGUCGUGGGCGUAGGAAAUUUGAGAGGAGCUGUCCUUAGUACGAGAGGACCGGGAUGGACAUACCUCUGGUGUACCAGUUGUCGUGCCAACGGCAUAGCUGGGUAGCUAUGUAUGGACGGGAUAAGUGCUGAAAGCAUCUAAGCAUGAAGCCCCCCUCAAGAUGAGAUUUCCCAACUUCGGUUAUAAGAUCCCUCAGAGAUGAUGAGGUUAAUAGGUUCGAGGUGGAAGCGUGGUGACACGUGGAGCUGACGAAUACUAAUCGAUCGAAGACUUAAUCAAUUU